Molecule: long non-coding RNA, 306 nt
Filed under: Mytilus galloprovincialis (Mediterranean mussel)
Lineage: Eukaryota; Metazoa; Mollusca; Bivalvia; Mytilida; Mytilidae
Source: RNAcentral
AAACUGUCUCCUUAAGGAUGUACUUAGGUGAGGUUUUGGAAUUUGUGUCAAAUGUUUGGAAUCCUUGGUGUUUUUCCAUACAAUACAAUGUAAAAUAUUUUGCCCCAUAACACCCAUUUAUUUUUUCAUAUAAGACUUAAUAGCUCAUGAAAGGUCAUUUAACAAAAUUUUAGAAGAUUCUUAAUUUUCUUUCUUUUGUUUUGAGACCUUAUAAUACUAAUGCAAAUAUAAGGUAAAAGUCCGAGUCAGCCUUUUCCCGCCAUUUUUAAAAUCUCAAAUAUCUCGAAAAGGAGGUCCAUGACCUAU